Molecule: non-coding RNA, 562 nt
Organism: Vicugna pacos (alpaca)
Lineage: Eukaryota; Metazoa; Chordata; Mammalia; Artiodactyla; Camelidae
Source: RefSeq, a predicted model, not a curated record
AACCCAGACCUUGUGUAUGCUAAGCACACAUUCUAACUGAGCUAUAUCCUUCCCCCUCUGACUAGCUGCUUUUAUUUAGCAAUACGCAUUUAAGAUUGAUGCUUGUCUUGUGGUUUACUAGUUCAUUCCUUUUUAUCACUGAAUAAUAUUCUAUUGUGUGGCUGUGCAACAGUUAAUUCAACUGUUGAAGGACAUCUCGGUUGCUUCCAGUUUUUUACAAUUGUACCAAAGUUGCUAUAAACAUUUGCAUAUAGGCUUCUAUAGGAAUGUAAGCUUUUACAUCAAUUAAGCAGUUAUCUAGGAGCAUGAUUGCUAGGUCUUACAUUAAGACUGUAUUUAAUUUUGUAAGAAACUGCCCAACUGUGAGGGUACAGUUGUGCAUUCUCACCAUCAAUGAAUGGGAACUCUUUUUGCUUUGCGUCUUCACUAGCAGUUGGUGGUGUUUGUUUUAGACUUUAGCCAUUACAAUAAAUGUGUGGUGAUACUUCCUGGUUGUUUUAAUUUGCAGUUCCCUAAUGUCAUGUGAUAUGGAGCACAGAGUGGAACUGUUCUUAGUUUUCCA